GGAAGCUAAAUUUCCUUUCCUUUCUUCCCUACUAAGUGUCGUCCCCUACCCCCACAUUAAACCUCCAUUUUCUUAUAAGCUUCAAAGCGAUUAUUAAAUCAUAUCAAAACUCUAUCAAGAACAUAUCAGGGUUCGAGAGGCAGUGUAGAGUGAACAAGCAAGGACUUCUACUUCAUUAAGCGUAUCAGGUUAAGCUGUGGUGUAGAUGGAAACGAGCAGAGCAAAUUCUUUGAUGUAUAUGUAUUAAACUAGGCUCAGGAUUCCAUGUCUUCAUACAUGUAAUCCACAUGAGUUAUUCCGCUGCAACACUUAGUAUAUUCUACUUUAUUGAUGUGUUGUACAGAUUUUAAAUCAAUAGCUUUGAGAAUUAUGUCA
Salvia miltiorrhiza (redroot sage) is the source of this 375-nucleotide long non-coding RNA. RefSeq lists it as uncharacterized. The transcript is spliced from 3 exons. The record is from RefSeq and is a predicted model, not a curated record. Lineage: Eukaryota; Viridiplantae; Streptophyta; Magnoliopsida; Lamiales; Lamiaceae.